Molecule: RNA transcript, 6621 nt
Organism: Pecten maximus
Lineage: Eukaryota; Metazoa; Mollusca; Bivalvia; Pectinida; Pectinidae
Gene name: nucleosome assembly protein 1-like 1
Exons: 16
Source: RefSeq, a predicted model, not a curated record
GUUCGGUCUCUUCCACCAUAUUUCCCUCGUGUUCAGUACACUGAAAGGGUAAACUAAAGAAUACCAUCAUGGCUGAUGCAGAAGGAAAAGCAACUGAGGCUGUUGAGGAUGUUGAUGAAGUAGAAGAAGUUGAAGAGGAGGAAGGUGGAGAUGUUGUUAAUGUCUCGCCUCCUGGACUGGUAGGUCUAUUGAAGAGUCCUCAGGUUCUGGCAGCUGUACAGGAAAGACUAGACUUUCUUCAAGGUGCACCCUCAGGCUACAUUCAAAGUUUACCCAAAUCAGUUAAACGUAGAAUCAAAGCCUUAAAGAAACUGCAAUUUGAAGCAGCCAAGAUAGAGGCAGAGUUCUACAAAGAGGUGCAUGACCUGGAAUGCAAAUAUGCAUCGCUGUACACACCACUCUUUGAUAAGAGGAAAGAUGUUGUGACUGCAGCAAAGGAACCAACAGAUGAAGAAUGUGACUGGCCCAGUGAUGACGAAAAGGAAGAGAAAGAUGAUGUAAAAUUAGCUGAAGAUGUUAAGAACAAAAUCAAAAUAGAUGAUGCUGAAAAAGCAGAGGAGAAAACAGACAAUGAAGGUGCCGACGUCAAAGGAAUUCCUGGUUUCUGGUUAACGGUGUUCAAAAAUGUAGAGAUGCUUUCUGAGAUGAUUCAGGAUCAUGAUGAACCAAUUCUAAACUGUCUACAGGAUGUUAAAGUUAAAUUUUCUGAAGUAGAAUCAACUAUGGGAUUUGUUCUGGAAUUUUAUUUUGAAACAAAUGACUUUUUCACAAACACUGUUUUAACUAAACACUAUACAAUGAAAUCUGAGCCAGAUGAAACGGAUCCAUUCUCUUUCGAGGGCCCAGAGAUUGUGAAAUGUGAAGGUUGUCAAAUAGAUUGGAAAAAGGGCAAAAAUGUAACUGUGAAAACCAUUAAAAAGAAACAAAAACACAAAGGACGGGGUACAACACGGACAGUCACAAAAACAGUACAGAAUGAUUCAUUCUUCAACUUCUUCUCACCUCCCACAGUACCGGAAGGAGAGGAAGAAGAUAUGGAUGAAGAUCUGGAAGCACUCUUAGCAGCAGACUUUGAAAUUGGUCACUUUAUACGUGACCGCAUUGUGCCUCGGGCUGUUUUAUACUUCACUGGGGAAGCUUUAGAAAAUGAUGAUGAUUUUGAUGAGGAAGGAGAGGAAGAGGACGGAGAAGAUGGAGAAUAUGAUGAGGAUGCAGACCCUGAUUACAAUCCACAGGUAAAUUGAUGUGACCUCUCUUGUCAUAUGCACAUGCUUCCGUGCAUGUGCAUUACGUACACACAGAGUGAUUCUCAAAAACCGGAGGAAUGCAAACAACAGUGAUUUUGAAAAGGUGCGAGCAUAAAAAUAUAUAAGUUAUCAACAAAAUCAAUUCCAGGAUGUGUGAGAUAAAUUUUCUGCAAGUAUUGGAAGACAACAAUGACAAGAGAAAAAUAAAUUCAAAUGAAAAAAAAAGACUGAUGCAAGAUUGCCAGAUUUGAAGAACCGGCAAUAACUUUUGUUAUAGUGCUGAUCAACCUUCACCUCAGCUGUGUUUUACCUUGGCUAGUGAUGACCUUUUUUUUUCCUUUUUUUUUUUCGUGUGUGUUUUAGGCUGGCAUACCAGCUAAUUGUGCUGUCAUCCUCCAAGACCCGCCUUGCCUCAUAUAAAAGCAUAUUCAUGUCCCCCAUAGCUGUUUACUUUGUGUUUAUUUAAAAACUUUUGUCCCAUUUCAAUCACAUUCUUUUCUGAUGGCAGUAAAAUCAUUGUGUUACUUUCUCUAUUUACCUAUUUUUAUCAGUUAUGGACACAGAGAGGCAGUUUUAUUUUAAAAGAUUUAUUAUGGGAAGCCUGCGGAGGCAUAGCAAAUUUGGGGAAACUUGAAAAAGUCAGAGUGAUUGUUAAAAAAUAAAGAAAUUGAUCAUGAACUACCUGAUGUAUAUGUGAUAUGGUAUUUUGAAUGUAUUUUGUUUAAAUAGUUGCAAUAUGUCGAGAUAAUAUUGAAGACUUUAAAUAUACAACUGGAAUAUUGGUGUAUAGAUCUUAAUGUAAAUCAUGUAUUUUCCUACAUAACUCAACAACUACAUGUUACAUUGGUAAUUAUUGUGCAUAAGAUAAUAUUGCAUUAUUUUUGUGAAGAUUUUGUUGUAUUGUUUCACAUGGAAGUUUGUGCCCAUUUCUAUGUAUUGGUGUGACAAAAGUAUUAUGGAAUGAAAGGCUUGAAACACAUUUUUAAGUGCGGUUUGACAUAUAGAAGAAACAGAUCUUAUAUAUUUAAAUUACAUGUCUUGUUGCUAAUUUCAUUUCACCCUUGUUAUUAAUAAAGUACGUCCACAACUGAUGAAGUAUCUGGGCUUUUCCAAUUAAAUUGUAUAGGAAGAUUUUGAGCUUAAUCCCUGAAACCAGACAUCAUUCAUCAGCUGGAUAUUUAAUAUUAAAUUUGUUCUGCGAUCAAUGAUAGUGUGUGUAUCCGAUUUAUCACAAAACUUCUUUCGAUAAUGACUGGCUGUUGAUAUAAAAGUUUGGAAUAUAUAUAAAAUCUGCAUGUUUCUAUGAAAUUCUUUACCUUGUCUAAGCGAUUUUGAAAUAAUGCUAAACUGGUUGUUGUCUUUUUAUACAAAUAACUAGAAUAACCCUCAAUAACAUUUAUAUGUUUAAUGUUCAUACAACAUAAAAUACAGCAAAUUAUUUUUUUAUUUUUUUUAGUAAGUUGAUUUAGGAUUUCAAUAUGUAAGUUUGAAAUGUUUAAUUCAGGAAAGAUUUAAUUUGAAAAGAAGCCCAGCCACCACUUGCCUUAAUGUUUUGUUCACUUUAGGCUCUCAUAACUCUCCUAUCAAUAUAUAAAUAUGACCAUAUAACUGUCACUUGAUCAGUUGUCUGCAUCCAUUUUGUACAGUAAACUACUAGCAUAUCCCAUGGAUACAUGCAAGAUUUCUGCUUUGCCGCAUUUCAGUUGUCUUUAUACAAUUCAUUUUAUACAUAGAUGAUCAUAAGAACAAAAAAUUCUGUGUCGUAUCUUGUCAUUUUCAUUUACAGGUUUUUCGCUCAGUAAAUUGACAGGAAAACCAGUAGAUAUCUUCUACCUAUAACAGAUUGUGUUUCACCAGUAAAUAUUUAGCUGUAUUCCUGGUGUAGUGUAGACUAUAAUUUAUGCUAGUCUGCUGUUUAGUUUUAAAGUAACAAGUCUGAACGAUGAGCAUUCUUGGAUAAGAGAAUUGGAAUGCUGAAUUGAACGCUUUAAAAUGUGUGGUGCUGUGUUUGUUUUUCACUUUAAAUUACAAAAGUUUCAUUUGAAGAAAUCAAAGAAAUUUGUAAAUUGUAUGUGAUGAAAUUAGGAUUCUUCACGUACUGGCUUCUAUGUCGUCAUUUUAGAUGAAUGUUCAUGUAAAAAAAAUUGAGAUUCUCAUUAAUAGUAUUUAAUACUUUUUGUAAUUAUUUUCUGGCAGAUAGUUGUACCCAUUCGAUUUGAGUCUGAUCCAGAAUUUUUUUUCAAACUUCAUUAGUAGGUUUUCCUUGGUCCCUAGUUGUGGUCAUUUGAUUUUGAGACUGAUCCAGAAACAAAAUGGCCACCAAAUUGCAAGCAGCCAUCUUUAUUUUUGACAGUUGAAGUUUGGUAUCGCUAUUUCUUUUUCACAGAAAGUUCUUUACCUCUCUCUCAGAUUUCAUAUGUAGGUUUUCCUUGUUGUCAGAUGAUUAAAAGGAAAAUGAGAAAUAAAGGAAAAGUAGAGAAAAGAUCGGUCUUAAAUACAAUCAAUCAAGAUUAUUUAACGAGGGGCACCAAGAUCCCACUGGGAUUUCUUGUAUUUGUUAUUUCAGAUAAGAUAAUUAAAUAAAGCUCAUAUUGUGAGUGUAGGUCCCCAUCCAGAUGGAUGAUUUAUACUUAAGAGGAGAGUCGAAUAUAUAUAAUAAUUGAUUAAGAGUUCCGCAGUGAAAUAGGGAUAGAAACGGAUCUGAAGGAGGAGGAGCAAAUGAAGAAGCAACCGUCCAAAACACUGAAAACAAGUGCUGCACUGGUGAUCAUAAGGACAAGAAAUACACCAGCCAUUUCUGAAUACCAACGAAAACGUUACCAUGGAAUUCUUAUGAGAUCAAACCUUUGUGUCUAUGUAUCGAUACAAAUACAUUUAAAGGUAUUAACAAAAUGGCAGACUUUGGUCCUAACCCUCCUGGAACAAAAUGCAAGGUGCCCACAUGUGACCAUUUUGAAAUUGACAUUUAAAGUAUGUUAUUUGCUAUUUCUGAGAAAUUAAUUUAUUCAUAGAUCGUUCCUGAAUUUCAGAAGUAGAUUCCUCUAGUGUGAGUUGAAGCUGUUAACCUUAUUUCUCAGAGCUCUUGAUGGAUCUUUCAGAUUUUAUAUCCAGGUUCACCAUAUUUGCAAAUGAUGAACAUGAGGAAGAGAAACGAUUAGACUUAUGGUCAUUUGAUGAUGGGCUCCAUGGUCCCUCUAGGAUCUCGUUAAUUCUUUGAAAUCGCACAGAUAUUGAAGCCAUCUUUCAUAAUUAUGGUAUAAUGUGUAUGUUGUGAUACUUUUAAGUGGUAAAAUGUAUUGAUAUUUGUAAACGGAAACUGCAAAGGACAAAGAUACACUAAACGUGACCGGGACCAGUAAGCUUUGUACUCUGUGGUCAAGAUUUACAAUAUUAGACAUUUACAGAUCUGAAAGAUCAACGUCCCUUAAACGAUAACUGCAAUUAGGAUUCCUCAACUGUACAGUAUACAACAGUAGAUCAGUGUUUGAAAAAAAACUGUGAGAAAAAUAAUUACAAUCAAGGCGCACUUAUGGGCAGUUAUCAAAGGAUCCUGUUAAUUAAAAGCCUGUUUUAUUUCAGCUUAUUGAUGAUUGAGUUCUUUAGUUUGAGUAUUUUUUUUAUAUGGAUAAAAAGGGCAUUCGUUACAAGUUGAUUAAGGAAUAAAGGACUGGAUAUCUAAAGCAUAAUAUCUGCAUUGUAAUUACUUGCAACAAAAUCAGUUUGUUGUAUCCAGAAAUUUACAAAUAAUUUUUCAAGUAUUAACACAAAUUAGGACAGGCCGGUGGUAUAGUUUGUCAUUUAAUUUUGAAUAUUAAAUACCACACAUCUGGUAGUUGAAGCAUGUGGCCUGCAGCUUAGAUUUGUAGAGAUCUACAGCUACCUAACACUGAAAAUGGCAAGUUUGUAGCAUAAUGUCUUUUUUUUUUUUCUUUAAUGAUUAUUUCAGAUAAUCAAGUACAUGGUUUUGGCUGGCAAUAGGAUUUGUUUGUAGAAAUGUCUCGGACAACAAACCUGUGUUCAUGUGAAGAAUUAUGAUUUAAAUCGUGCCGAUAACAAAAGGUUAACGGUUAGUUGUAGACAAACUCUCAUGAUCUGCAUAUAUCCAGAAGCAAAGGUUCGGUUUAUUUUCAGAAGGGAGGUUAAAUGAUAACAAAAAGACCUGGUGUUAAAAUUUGAUGACAUAUUCAUCUUUAUUGUGUAAAGAUUCCGUAACCACCUUACAUGUCAUGUGUAGUAUAAAGUAUGCUUACAAUAUAGUUUUGUCUGUUCAGUAACAACAGUAUCUUUGGAAGUGAUGACUUGGUCAUUUACUUUUUUUUCACCUGUACUUCAUUGGAAUGUGAUUUAAAUAAAGGUACUUAUAUAACAACUGUUCAGUAUCUUUGGAGAUUAUGACUUGGACAACAUUUUUUUUUUUUUUUCACUCGGACUUUAAUGAGAUGUGAUUUAAUUUAACCAAUGUACUUCAUGUAGAUAUACGAUUGUAAUGUAUUGUGUCAUCAUUCUCAUUAGCAUUUUUGUACUUAUAUUAUUAACAAGUAAAUCAUCAGGGAAUACGAGUCAUUUGUGACAAGGAAAGUCUCCAGUCUAACAUAAACAUGUAUUGUAGUGGUAAUUGCCAUUUGUUAGAAGCCCUAUGGAGUGUAGGCAUUGAAAACAUACAUUUUACCUGACUGAUUGGUGAAGACAAUGACAAAUCGAAGUUAUACCUUCAAUUAAUUUUCUCAUUACAUGAAAAGAUUUCUAUCUACAACAACUUUGUAUCAUUAUCAAACACUACUUGCCCACUUGGCCCUAAAUUAUGCUGCUCCAAGUUGGAACAUUUACACCAACACAUGAAACCUAGCAAUAGGUGGUAAACAAGCAACUAACUAAUUUACAAUUAAAAAUUGGAACCUGUUUAUUUUGAAAAUGGUCCCAGCAAUAUCAUUUGAUUACUUUUCAACGUAAUGAAGAUAAACAUGCUCACAGCUUUCAGGAUUUUUCUAUCACAAAGGUAUUUUGUUUUUGCUUGAUAAUGUUUCUAAACUGUUUAGAUGUACAGUUGUAGUAGGCAAGAGGGCACUAUACAAUUAAUAAUGUAUAUAAUAUUGCCGACGAGCAAUAAAGUCAAUGAAAUGCUUGUUUUAAAUCAGUGUUCAAAUAUAGCAUGUUAUAUACACUGGAAUCUUGUUGUGUUGCUUAGUAAUGUCUGGCCGUUAUCAGUUGGAUGAUGACAAGUUAUUAUGUAUACAACUAUUUAAUGUUUUGAAAAGAAAAUCAGAUAAGUUGUUUACUGAAUUUGAUAUUUGGGAUAGGAUGAUUUUCGGGUACAAUGUUGUGAAUUGUAUCACUUCAGGUUUCUGGCCAUUAUUAAAAUAUCAAAACACUCGUA